Meleagris gallopavo (turkey) is the source of this 1705-nucleotide non-coding RNA. NCBI's taxonomy places the organism in Eukaryota, Metazoa, Chordata, Aves, Galliformes, Phasianidae. The record is from RefSeq and is a predicted model, not a curated record.
AUCUCUGGGCAACCUGUUCCAGUGCUUCACCACUGUAGCAGAAAUGCUGAGUCGGGGCCUGAAACAGUGAUCAAGCUCCUGGUGGGAGGCAGGGCCAACCCAGGGGAGUGCAGGUGCAAGCAACAGGUGCAAGCAAUGUGCCUGAGUGACUGGAAUGGGCAGAGCCAGGAUCUGACCCUUCCCAGACCUCAUUUAAGGGUUGGCAGGGGAAGGCAAGAUGUUUCUCACUGGAGGUCCUUGCUUUCUUGAGGCUUUCUGAAGGAGCGAUGCUCUAUUCCUUGGAUCAUUUUAUUGCUUUUCUCUGGAUAAACUCCAGCAGGUCUAUGUCUCUGCUGUACUGAGAGUUGUACAUCCAGAGAAAUCACCUUUCAAGGACGAGGCUCAUCACUCCCUCGCAUGCAGAGAAGCUGCCAGCAGGAGGAACCUGUUUUCAUUUAUGUGUUUUCGUGAGAUUGUGGCACGAGGUUAACUCAUGUAGGAUUUACCAGAUGUCUCUUUGUGGAGUGGGCUGCUUUGAGAGCAGAAGCGUUCUUCACUUUACACGUAAAUGCAUGCAUGAGUCAUAUACCUGCAUAUGCUCCUUUUUUCCAAGGACACUGUGCCCUGUGGAGGUGGGAGUGCUCCUUUCUCACCUGGAGAAUUUCACAUCAUAGCAGGCUAUCAGAAGAACAGAGAACAGGGAAUGCUUCAACUUUGCUUUAAAGCUGCCUACCUCUUAGUCUGUCUGGUGGGUCAGAUAAGACCUGUCUAAUCUUGCAUUAAAAAAAAGUUUUACCAGUGCAUGACUUUUUUAGUCUUUUUUUUUUCUCUUUUUAGUUUCCUGUGGCAUUUACUAAAAGAAGGUAUUGCACUCUUUAAGUGCUUGCAAAAAAAAAAAAAAAAAUUCUCUGGCUUAUUUCUGGUCAAAGGACGAUAGAUGGGAUGAAGAGAGAACUAUCUGAACCAAGGCAGAGGCUUCCUUUCUCAUUGCAAUAGGGGCUGUUCAGCUGGUCAUGCUCAUGACAAACAGUCACCUCUUUUCAGCUUCAGUGAGAAGACUGGAGAACUGGAGGGGAUGUCCCCCAUAAACUGUGCAGAGUACCCAGUGCAGAAAAUAGCAUGUGUAGGGACAGUGGCCUUUGCAGGUUGUCUUGGGAACUGAGGGCAGCAGUGAGGAGUGGGGUCCAUCCCUCUCAGCAAGUGCUGAGCAGGGUCUGGUGUUCAUGGUGACAGAUGCUUGAAUCUGAUAUUUCUCACUGCCAUUGAGCUCUCUGAUUGAUUUGCCUAGCUUGCCAUGAUGAAAUCAUUAAUCUUGACACUUGCUGCAGCCCAAACUUAGGCACACUGGAGUUGUUUUUUCUGCACCUGCCAAAAGACGGAUCAGGCAGCAGGGUUUUCACACUCCAUGAAAGCUAUGGACAUGAUUUCUAAGAAGGGAUUGACAGAGGCCACUAAAGGGAACAGAUCAGGAGAUGUCCUGCCUUUGGAGGGACUGGAGAGAAGAAACUUGUUUCUUGGAGUGAAAGGAAAACAGAUGAUGAGCCAUGUUUUUACAAAUUCGUACUAUUUCUAUGAUAAGUUCAGAACACAGUUUAUAGAAUCAUGGAAUGGCUCAGAUUGGAAGGGACGUUAAAGAUCAUCUUGUUCCAACCCCCUACCACUGGCUGGUUGCCAUCUAUCAGAUCAGGGCCCCAUCCACCCUGGCUUUGAGCACUUCCAGGGAUGG